RNAcentral lists this ribosomal RNA (440 nucleotides) under uncultured bacterium. RNAcentral describes it as "partial 16S ribosomal RNA". It matches the Rfam family "Bacterial small subunit ribosomal RNA", at positions 338 to 795 of the family's 1533-position model. The record is from RNAcentral.
CCUACGUGUGGCAGCAGUGGGGAAUAUUGCGCAAUGGGCGAAAGCCUGACGCAGCGACGCCGCGUGAAGGAUGAAGGUCUUCGGAUCGGAAAGCUCUAUCAGCAGGGAAGAAAAUGACGGGACCUGAGUAAGAAGCACCGGGUAAAGACGUGCCAGCAGCCGCGGUAAUAAGUAGGGGGCAAGCGUUAACCGGAUUUACUGGGUGAAAAGGGAGCGGAGACGGCAGUGCAAGUCUGGAGUGAAAGGCGGGGGCUCAACCCCCGGACUGCUCUGGACACUGUACGGCUUGAGGGCAGGAGAGGUAAGUUGAAUUCCUAGUGUAGCGGUGAAAUGCGUAGAUAUUAGGAGGAACACCAGUGGCGAAGGCGGCUUACUGGACUGUAACUGACGUUGAGGCUCGAAAGCGUGGGGAGCAAACAGGAUUAGAUACCCUAGUAGUC